This 253-nucleotide ribosomal RNA is filed under the name uncultured bacterium. RNAcentral's name for it is "partial 16S ribosomal RNA". It matches the Rfam family "Bacterial small subunit ribosomal RNA", at positions 15 to 263 of the family's 1533-position model. The record is from RNAcentral.
GAUCCUGGCUCAGAUUGAACGCUGGCGGCAGGCCUAACACAUGCAAGUCGAACGGUAACAGGAAGAAGCUUGCUUCUUUGCUGACGAGUGGCGGACGGGUGAGUAAUGUCUGGGAAACUGCCUGAUGGAGGGGGAUAACUACUGGAAACGGUAGCUAAAUACCGCAUAACGUCGCAAGACCAAAGAGGGGGGACCUUCGGGCCUCUUGCCAUCGGAUGUGCCCAGAUGGGAUUAGCUAGUAGGUGGGUAACGG